Molecule: long non-coding RNA, 5854 nt
Organism: Homo sapiens (human)
Lineage: Eukaryota; Metazoa; Chordata; Mammalia; Primates; Hominidae
Gene: ADAMTS16-DT
Product: ADAMTS16 divergent transcript
Source: Ensembl
AGAUACAAAGGUUCUCCACGUCCCCAUCAGAUUAGUUAGAUACACAGAGUUUCCACACACAGGUUCUCCAAGGCCCCACCAGAGCAGCUAGAUACAGAGUAUCGAUUGGUGCACUCACAAACCUUGAGCUAAACACAGGGUGCUGAUUGGUGUAUUUACAAUCCCUGAGCUAGACAUAAAGACUCUCCACAUCCCCACCAGACUCAGGAUCCCAGCUGGCUUCACCUAGUGGAUCCCCGCACCGGGGCGCAGGUGGAGCUGCCUGCCAGUCCUGCGCCGUGCGCUCGCAUUCCUCAGCCCUUGGGUGGUCCAUGGGACUGGGCGCUGUGGAGCAGGGGGUGGCGCUCCUUGGGGAGGCUCGGGCCGCACAGGAGCCCAUGGAGUGGGUGGGAGGCUCAGGCAUGGCGGGCUGCAGGUCCCGAGCCCUGCCCCGCAGGAAGGCAGCUAAGGCUCGGCAAGAAAUCGAGCACAGCCCCGGUGGGCCGGCACUGCUGGGGGACCCAGUACACCCUCCGCAGCCACUGGCCCAGGUGCUAAGUCCCUCAUUGCCCGGGGCCAGCAGGGCUGGCCGGCUGCUCUGAGUGCGGGGCCCGCCAAGCCCACGCCCACCCGGAACUCCAGCUGGCCCGCAAGCGCUGCACGCAGCCCCGGUUCCCGCUCGUGCCUCUCCCUCCACACCUCCCUGCAAGCUGAGGGAGUGGGCUCCAGCCUUGGCCAGCCCAGAAAGGGGCUCCCACAGUGCAGUGGGGAGCUGAAGGGCUCCUCAAAUGCCGCCAAAGUCGGAGCCCAGGCAGGGGAGGUGCCCAGAGCAAGCGAGGGCUCUGAGGACUGCCAGCACGCUGUCACCUCUCAGUAGGACUGCGCGCGUGGGAGUGCAUGUUUGCACACGUGUGUGUGUGUGGCGCUCCCCAUCCGUGGCUGCUUUCCCAUCACACACCUUAUGUGGAUCCUGGGCCUUCAGCUGCCCUUUGUUUGGUUCCAGUGUCCUUCACAGCCAGCUUAGCUUGACGUUGCCUCUUUUGCACACUUUGGAGAGGGGGAUGAAUGGGGGAAAUGGUGUCUUGGGCUCUGGCUUUCUUUGCCCAGCCUGUCGCGAGUCUGUGGGUACCCAGGGAGAGCUCCCAGCAGGCGCCCUGCUAGGGCUGUCCUGAAGCCCCAGACCCCAGGUAGGGGCAGUAGAACCGCCUGGCUGUGUAUGGGCAUCCUCAUUCCAUAGCAACACACACUCCCUCUCUUAUUCAUUUAUUUGAAACCAUUCCUCAAAGUGCAAAUAUUUUUUACAUAAAGCCUGGCAUUGGGAGGGACCUUAAAACACCUGCCACCCUUCCUCUCUGCCAAUGCCUAACAAGCGUCUGCCUCAGCUCACACCUCAGGGAGCUUACACUUACCUUGAAGGGGGGGUUCGGCAGUGCCUGGAAGUCUCCAGAAUCUGCCGGCAGAAUUUCCCUUGUCCUGAGUACAUUGCACGCUUGAUAAAUGGGGAUCUCUACGUACUUCUAAUUGUGUCCAGUGUAACAUGAAAGGGAGUGAGAUUUUUUCCAGUCUAUCACAUGGAGAUACCUAGGGGCCCUCUUCUGUAAGUUCAAACAGAUGGAAAAAAAGAAGAAUGGCUGAUAUAAAAGGAUUCACUCUUACGGUAUGCUUAAGAACAGUAAGACCAGAGCAGUGCUAAAUGAGUCUCUUUUCAUUGUGAAGAAAGAAACAACAUUCUUUAAAAUGACUAGUGUUUCCCAGUUCCUCUAGCGGUGCACGGAUUUCAGCGCUCAUCCUGCAGUAUGAAUGUCUCCAGGUAACAAAGAGGGGUGGUUGAGUCCAGGCUAUAGAGGCCAGAGUGGGAGCUGAGAUGCAAAACACACGAGUGGACCGAGUUUAAGACUGGCCAUCUAACAUGGUGGCAGUAACUCGCAGCUGCCUGUCCGUCUCAGGGAGGGAUGGAGAGGGAGGGGCAAACUGGAGCACACGUGUCUGCCUUAAAAGGGACUCCUGGCACUGAGUGGCCAGCGCAUGGGUUGGUGCCAUACAGUAUUGGGGACCAGACCUGCCUAAUUUUUAAAGGUAAAAUGGAAAUCUAAAUAUGUAUAUGGAGUCCCUUCAGUUUAAAGGUGUCCCAGCAAAGUAACCCUGAGAACAAAUAUUGGAAGAGUCAAAACAAACCGCCAGCCUCAAACUACUUCACUUUGCAGCCCUUCAAGAACUUAGCACUCUUAACUUUGAGGUCAAAGUUUAGGAAAGCAGUUUUGUCAUCAUUUGUUUACAUCCAGGGUCAGAAAACUCUCUACUGCCUAAGAUCAAAUCUGGCCAGCUGACUCAUUUUGUAAAUAAAGUUUUAUUUGUUUGCAGAUCGUCUGUGAAUGCUUUCACAAUGGCAGAGUUAAGUCACUGCAACAGAGACUGUGUGCCCUGCAAAGCCUAAACUAUUUACCAUCUGGCCCUUCACAGAAAAAUGUUGCUGUAAAUUAUUUAGACCAUUCACAGUUAGCACUUGUUUCCUUUCAGACAGAGGUUCUGAUUACUUAGGUCAUUUUGAAUAUCAAGUAGACGUUUCAAUAGAGAAUAAAAAUUAAAUUAAAAAUAAAAACAAAGUGCUUAGCAAAGGAUCUGAGAGAGAGUUUCUUCUAACGGCUGCAUGCUCUCCCAUGCCCAGUGCCCUUUCACAAUGAAAGGAGCCAGGGCCCUUUCUCAUGUGGAAACAAAUGGCAUUUUAGAUUAAAAGGACCAAACUUUGUCAUAACCCUUUUCUAAAUUGCAUAAACUUUAAACUAAAGCAGUGCAAGUGGGCACAUUACCUUGUAUGUAAAACCACCAUCCAUACAACCGAAACAGAGAAGAAUUGGAUGUGUUUGUGCCCUACAAAGAUUCUGUUUAGUCUGUAAUUUUGUUCCUUCCUCAUCUCACACACAGCUGAAACUAGUCAGGUUUCAAAGAAGGUAGCAUUGUAUUGUGCAUCAACACUUGUCUUUAGUGGAAAAAAUUACAAUGAUUGUGUGCAAAAUUUUUGUAGUUCAUAUUCUUUUCUGAAAGAUUAGAGUCGUUCUUUAUUACUUUAUACAAAUUAUGAGAACACAGUGUCAUUAAAACACAGACACAAUGAUGUCAAAUAACUUUCCAGCUUGGAGGCCUAUGGGUGGCUCUAGUCCCUCUUUGCAGGUUACAGUUGAGAAAACCAAGCCCCAGGAAGGUCCAGCAGGUCUGCGGACCCACCGUAGGGGCACAGCGCUCAGGCCUCAUAUACUUACUCUUCCCCAGCCCUGCUCUUGGCCCCUCCGCAAUAAGAUGAUUUAUAGGCCAAAAGUAGUGAGGCACCGCACUGUCUCCCAGUGCUCACAGCACCCCGACAAUGUGAGAAGGUCACAUAGUAAAACACAAGAAAAAGAUAUUUUGAAGAAGAAAUAUUAAAUGAAUUAUAUAAAAUGUAGAACUCACUAUGAAUUUGGACUCAGUAUAACUUUAGAAAUCAGAGGGCUCUGGAAGAACUGUGCCUCCGGAGUGGUUGGCAACACUUGUCCCAGCCCCCUGUGUUUCCACAAGAUCCUUUGGCCAAGUUCUAACUGAACCUGAGCAUCUCAGCUCCUCGGUGCUAAUAGGAUUAGCGUCCUUCCCUCCACAGGCCAAACACGUCCUUCAAAUGCCUAGGCAGUAACCAGAUCACGUCAGCCCACGGUUUACACGAAGAUCCUGUUCAUGACUGCACUCUUGUUUCUGUCGUCCUCCCUUACUUUGAGACUUGACUGUUUUUAGUAAAAAGAAGAAAAGAAAAUUGCAAACCAAUGACAAUCACAAUAUGGCAUUUAUAAGCUCCUUUCCUUUUAUUACUAAACACAGAAAUACUUAGGUUAAAUAGUAAUAAUGUAUCUAAUUAUACAAUAAUUAUCUUUUUUCUAAUAAUAAUAAGUUAAAUAUUUGUUAUUAUUUUAUUAUUAUUGCUAUUGGUAUUCCAUAGCAUCUCUUGCGGUGAGACCCCUCACUCUUCCCCAGUGCUGAAGAUGCACAUAGAAGAUCAGUCACUCAGACACCUCAGGAAAUAAGUCUCAGCACUUUUCCCUGAAGACUUCUGGUCCAUACUAACACUGGCUUCUGCCAAACAUACUUUCUUCCAAUGGGUACAAAGGCGGCAUAAUUGUCGGAGCUUGGUGUAUCAGUUAGCUAUUGCUGCGUAAGAAAAUACCCCGAAACCUGAAACAAAAGCCAGUUCUUUUUGCCUGUGCAUCUGCGUCCUGGCUGGUUAUCUGGUGGUCAUGAUGGGCCCUGUCGAUCUUGGCUGGGUUCACGCAGGUGUGCUGUCCACGGGGUUGGGUUGUUGGCUGAGUAGAAUUGGGCUUGCUCACAUUAAUGGAACAAGUGGUCAGAUCCAGCUGUAUUUCUUACAGUUUCUCACCCUCCUGCAGGCCAGCCUGGGCUUGUUUUCCCGGUAGUACUGGGUUCUGAGAGAGAGUAACUGCAUGGAAGGCCUUGAAGACUGGGCUUGGGCCUGCUGUACCCACAUGACUGCUUCUGCCACGUUCUACUGGCCAAGCUCUAUGGGCAGCUCAGACACAAGGGAAGAGACUCUGCUGCUUCCUGGGAGAAGCUGCAAGACCACAUUGCGAAGGAACAUGUUGUUGCUGCUCCCAUGUUACCUUCGUCAGUGACCUGAGAUGCAGACUGGAUCUAGGGAAUGGUGUUUCCUGUGUGAUGCCUUCCAGGAGUAUCUGCACCACGGGCAGUGCCAGGCCGAGGACAGAGGGCCUAAUGGAGGACACUCUACAACUCCAUCCUGCUGCUGGGGGGGCUUGGGGGCGCCUCCACGAGGGUCUUCAGAGGAAAGGCAUGUGUGUGGUCUGUGGCCUGCCAGCAGGAGAGCUGGGGGAGGCCGGCAUCUUGAGGCUGUUGGCAGCAAGUGCAGGCAGAGGCCUCGGGCCAGAGGGGAGGUGGCAGGGCUCAGGUGCCCUGUGCUUCCUCGGAGAAGGCACUUGGGAUGAAGGCUUAGUCCUGCCUGGUAAACCUGGAGGCCUGUGAACACUGGGGUUAGCCCCAACAAGGGAGGAGGUUCCCGCUGCCUCACUAAGAACAGCCUGCUGCUACACUCACCCUGACAGCUGCUCCGCUCCCAGUGAACCCCACCCCGAGAAGGCUCAUCGGGGCCACGGACCUCCCUCAGCGCUGCAUUCAGAAUCCCUCAGGAGUUGUAAACUUCCUGAUUUCUGGACCCAUCACCAGAGCCCAACGUCACGGGUAAGGGUUAGGGCCUGGAUGUCAGGAUUCAAUUUGGAGAAUUCCCCGGGGCAAUUCCACCAUUGCAGACACUGAAACGGAGCUGGGGCAGAAGAAUCACACCAGGUGGCUCGAGCUGAGCGGCUGGGAGUGUGGCAGUGAAGACACUGAGUGUCCGUCAGGGAAGAUGGCUCUGGGUACAACAGCGUGCCCAGCCCCUUAGAUAUUCUCUGCACGGAAGUGGCCCCACCCUGAAGCGCGUGUGCAGUGACUGUUCAUGCUUCUGUGUGUGUGCAGGAGUAGUUUGGUUGGAGUGUGCAUAUGCGAAUGUGUGUGUAUGGAAGUCUAUCUAUCUGUAAUGUAAAGCAGUUGCGUAAUGCAAAUGUGUGUGUAUGGACAUCUAUCUGUAAUGCAAAGCAGUUGCGUAAUGCAAAUGUGUGUGUAUGGAUGUCUAUCUAUCUGUAAUGUAAAGUUCCCAAGUAUUGUGUAUAUCAUUGUUUGAGUUUUUAAAUUCUAAGAUAAUUUCUAGAGAAAAAGAUGUACGGGUGAUUCCUGGUGAAAAGCAGGGACCGUGGGCCUCAUAUUGAGACACAUUUCACGCUGUUUAGAUUGUAAUGGCAAUUAUGUAUGACUUUUGUACGUUUUUUAAAAAGCCAAUAAAAUA